RNAcentral lists this ribosomal RNA (326 nucleotides) under uncultured eukaryote. RNAcentral's name for it is "partial 18S ribosomal RNA". It matches the Rfam family "Eukaryotic small subunit ribosomal RNA", at positions 1469 to 1796 of the family's 1831-position model. The record is from RNAcentral.
ACCCUUAGAUGUUCUGGGCUGCACGCGCGCUACACUGAAGGUAUCAGCAUGUGUCUCCCUCCCAGAGAUGGGCGGGUAACCCUCUGAAUCACCUUCGUGGUAGGGAUCGGGGCUUGCAAUUAUUCCCCGUGAACCAGGAAUUCCUAGUAGACGCGAGUCAUAAGCUCGCAUCGAUUAAGUCCCUGCCCUUUGUACACACCGCCCGUCGCUACUACCGAUUGAACGUUUUAGUGAUGCAUUUGGACCGACGCUUACCAGUCUAACCGCUGGUUUGUGUUGGAAAGAUUUCCAAACUUGAGCGUUUAGAGGAAGUAAAAGUCGUAACA